ACGGGAGGCAGCAGUAGGGAAUAUUGCGCAAUGGGGGCAACCCUGACGCAGCAAUGCCGCGUGAGUGAAGAAGGCCUUCGGGUCGUAAAGCUCUUUUAUGGGGGAAGAUGAUGACGGUACCCCAUGAAUAAGCACCGGCUAACUACGUGCCAGCAGCCGCGGUAAUACGUAGGGUGCGAGCGUUGUUCGGAAUUACUGGGCGUAAAGGGCGUGCAGGCGGAUUGGCAAGCCGGAGGUGAAAGCCCGGGGCUCAACCCCGGAGGGUCUUUCGGAACUGCCAGUCUUGAGAGGGUCAGGGGCCAGCGGAAUUCCUGGUGUAGAGGUGAAAUUCGUANAGAUCAGGAGGAACACCGGCGGC
RNAcentral lists this ribosomal RNA (358 nucleotides) under uncultured bacterium. RNAcentral's name for it is "bacterial SSU rRNA". It matches the Rfam family "Bacterial small subunit ribosomal RNA", at positions 341 to 716 of the family's 1533-position model. The record is from RNAcentral.